UAAGGAUCCGGUGUUGCCCUGAGCUGUGGUGUAGGUUGCAGAUGCAGCUCAGAUCUGGAGUUGCUGUGGCUGUGGCAUAGGUCAGCUCCAAUUCGACCCCUAGCCUGGGAACUUCCAUAGCUGCGGGGGGAUGCAGCCCAAAAAAGAAAAAAAAGAAAGAAAGAAAAAAAAAGAAAGAAAUGCAGCCUGUAGUAUUGUUGGAAUUCUUAUUUGCCAAGGAAGAAUCAUCUUCAUUUUUGUAGGGAAUAUGGAAAAGCAGUGUGGCUCAUAUAACAUCCCAGAAGAAGAAAUCUAGGCUAUAUGAAGAGCAUCUCAAGAGAAAAAAAAUACCUUGAACAAGUAAAAGGAUAACUCAUCAUGACAAUGAGACAUAUGGUCAAAGAUUCAACAAAAACCAUAAGUUUGAAAAUGUUAAAUAAUAGUUUAGGAACAUUAUCCAACAAAGCUUUCCUGUGAUGCAAGUCUCCGCGUGAGAAUAUUUUUUGAAAGCUUUCAUAUUAGUACUGCAUAUAGUGUACAUAAAUAAAACACAGAAAGAAAAUUAUAUAUGAUGCCA
RNAcentral lists this long non-coding RNA (556 nucleotides) under Sus scrofa (pig). RNAcentral describes it as "lncRNA (ENSSSCG00070008758.1)". Lineage: Eukaryota; Metazoa; Chordata; Mammalia; Artiodactyla; Suidae. The record is from RNAcentral.